This 253-nucleotide ribosomal RNA is filed under the name uncultured bacterium. Its description in RNAcentral is "partial 16S ribosomal RNA". It matches the Rfam family "Bacterial small subunit ribosomal RNA", at positions 524 to 776 of the family's 1533-position model. The record is from RNAcentral.
UACGUAGGUGACAAGCGUUGUCCGGAUUUACUGGGCGUAAAGAGCGCGCAGGCGGUCGUUCAAGUCGAGUGUGAAAGCCCCCGGCUCAACUGGGGAGGGUCAUUCGAUACUGAUCGACUCGAAGGCAGGAGAGGGUAGUGGAAUUCCCGGUGUAGAGGUGAAAUUCGUAGAUAUCGGGAGGAACACCAGUGGCGAAGGCGGCGACCUGGGCCAAUAUUGACGCUGAGGUGCGAAAGCGUGGGGAGCAAACAGG